Molecule: ribosomal RNA, 1473 nt
Filed under: uncultured archaeon
Lineage: Archaea
Description: bacterial SSU rRNA
Rfam family: Archaeal small subunit ribosomal RNA
Source: RNAcentral
CGGUUGAUCCUGCCGGACCCUACUGCUAUCGGGGUGGGACUAAGACAUGCGUGUCGAACGACCCCUAGCCAUGAAGGGGACGUGGCGUACGGCUCAGUAACACGUGGCUAACCUACCCUUGAGACAGGGACAACCCCGGGAAACUGGGGCUAAUCCCCGAUAGAUGAGAACACCUGGAACGGGUUCUUGUCCAAAAGGCGCCUAGAUCACGCUUCUAGACACUGCUCAAGGAUGGGGCCGCGGCCGAUCAGGCUGUUGGUGAGGCAAUGGCUCACCAAACCUUUAACCGGUACGGGCCGUGGGAGCGGGAGCCCGGAGAUGGGAACUGAGACAAGGUCCCAGGCCCUACGGGGCGCAGCAGUCGCGCAAACUCUGCAAUGCACGAAAGUGUGACAGGGCUACCCCGAGUGCCGUCCGCUGAGGAUGGCUUUUCUCCACUGUAAGGAGGCGGAGGAAUAAGGAGAGGGCAAGUCUGGUGUCAGCCGCCGCGGUAAUACCAGCUCUCCGAGUGGUGGGGAUGAUUAUUNGGGCUUAAAGCGUCCGUAGCCGGCCUUUCAAGUCUCUUGUUAAAUCCAGCGAUUCAAUCGUUGGACUGCAGGAGAUACUGUUAGGCUAGGGGGCGGGAGAAGCCGACGGUAUUCUCGGGGUAGGGGUAAAAUCCUAUAAUCCCGGGAAGACCACCAGUGGCGAAGGCGGUCGGCUAGCACGCGCUCGACGGUGAGGGACGAAAGCUGGGGGAGCGAACCGGAUUAGAUACCCGGGUAGUCUCAGCUGUAAACGAUGCUGGCUAGGUGUUGAAGCGNGCUACGAGCCGCUUCAGUGCCGCANGGGAAGCCAUUAAGNCCCGCCGCCUGGGGAGUACGGCCGCAAGGCUGAAACUUAAAGGAAUUGGCGGGGGAGCACCACAANGGGGUGAAGCUUGCGGUUUAAUUGGAGUCAACGCCGGGAACCUUACCAAGGGUGACAGUUGGAUGAAGGCCAGAUUAAAGGUCUUACCAGACUAGCUGAGAGGAGGUGCAUGGCCGUCGCCAGUUCGUGCCGUGAGGUAUCCCGUUAAGUCGGGAAACGAGCGAGACCCACGCCCUUAGUUGCAAAUGAGUUCCGAAAGGAAUUCGUGCACUCUGAGGGGACUGCCGCCGAUAAGGUGGAGGAAGGAGUGGGCCACGGCAGGUCAGUAUGCCCCGAAUCGCCCGGGCCACACGCGAGCUGCAAUGGCUGGGACAAUGGGUUCCGACCCUGAAAGGGGAAGGCAAUCCCGAAACCCGGCCUCAGUUGGGAUCGAGGGCUGAAACCCGCCCUCGUGAACAUGGAAUCCCUAGUAAUCGCGCGUCAUCAGCGCGCGGUGAAUACGUCCCUGCUCCUUGCACACACCGCCCGUCGUUCCACUCGAGUGGGUUUAGGAUGAGGCGUGGUCCUUUGUGGCUGUGUCGAAUCCUAGGUUCGCGAGAGGGGAAAAGUCGUAACAAGGUAGCC